GAUGAAGAACGUAGCGAAAUGCGAUAAGUAAUGUGAAUUGCAGAAUUCAGUGAAUCAUCGAAUCUUUGAACGCACAUUGCGCCCCCUGGUAUUCCGGGGGGCAUGCCUGUCCGAGCGUCAUUACAACCCUCAAGCUCAGCUUGGUAUUGGGCCCCGCCGCUUCGGCGGGCCCUAAAGUCAGUGGCGGUGCCGUCCGGCUCCGAGCGUAGUAAUUCUUCUCGCUCUGGAGGCCCGGUCGUGUGCUUGCCAGCAACCCCCAAUUUUUUUCAGGUUGACCUCGGCUCAGGUAGGGAUACCCGCUGAACUUAAGCAUAUCAAUAAGCGGAGGA
Molecule: unclassified non-coding RNA, 329 nt
Filed under: soil metagenome
Description: partial contains 5.8S ribosomal RNA, internal transcribed spacer 2, and large subunit ribosomal RNA
Rfam family: 5.8S ribosomal RNA (bases 1-120)
Source: RNAcentral